RNAcentral lists this long non-coding RNA (831 nucleotides) under Cricetulus griseus (Chinese hamster). Its description in RNAcentral is "lncRNA (ENSCGRG00000025937.1)". Lineage: Eukaryota; Metazoa; Chordata; Mammalia; Rodentia; Cricetidae. The record is from RNAcentral.
AUGGCAAACAUUCUUGUCCUGGAGGAGUGGAUGUGUCACCUACUGAAUCUGCGUCUCGAACAUUUCAUCAAUCACCCAUUGAUUGUGCCUCCUCUGGAUCCCAGGCUCAGCUUUCGGCUAUAUAUUCUGAACAGCCAGUACCAAAGCAAGAGAAAGGAUAGGCAUGGAUGUCAGGCAAAGAGAAUAAUUAGGAAGACAAAUCUGGGAAGAACAAGGAGCAAGAAAAGGAGGAAUAGAAGACAUCAGGGCCAGCCACCCAGCUACACAGCAAGCCACAAAGUAAGAAAUAAAGAAAGGUACAUAGAAAUAGAAAACGAUAAAAGAUCAGAGGCAAAAGAUAGAUUGGAUAAUUUAACUUAAGAAAAGCAGGCUAGAAAUAAUCUAAGCUAAGACUGGGCAUUCAUAAGAAAUAAUAAGAUUCCAUGUGAUUAAUUUGGGAGCUGGGUGGUGGGCUCCAAAGAACCAAAAGAGUAAAAAAACAACUACGGGAAAGUAAAUAAUAAAACCCAGAAGCAGAAGUACUUCCAAUAGAAAGGAAUUCACUAUGCAUCCUGACUGGUCUGAGUACAAGGCAAAUAUGAAUAUUAUUAAAGAAAGGUAGAUUAAGAAAAAAUUGAGACUGCCAUGGAAGGACACUUUUUUUUUUCAAUGUCAUGUGAUAUAAGGGAAAUAGCAGCAGAGCUGCACCUUGACUGGGCAAAAGAUCCUCCUCCUCCUCCUCGUCCUCCUCGUCCUCCUCCUCCUCCUCCUCCUUCUUCUUCUUCUUUUUCUUCUUCCCCUUCCCCUUCUCCUUCUCCUUCUCCUUUUCCUUCUCUUCCUUCUUCUUCUUCC